Molecule: long non-coding RNA, 2789 nt
Filed under: Homo sapiens (human)
Lineage: Eukaryota; Metazoa; Chordata; Mammalia; Primates; Hominidae
Description: HSALNT0392102
Source: RNAcentral
AACUCGGGCAGGUGACAGCCUGAAGCGCACCCAGCGUAGCUGGGCUCUCCUGCACUGGCCCAGGUGAGGCUGGGGUCUGGGGCCGGAGGAAGGACACAUGUGGCGCCGGGACGAACUGGCCGAGCUGGCCGCUUCAGCCACACGUCUGGAGCUGGGCAGGGUGGAGGGGGAGGAGGGACACGGGUGCCCACAACGCAGCACCACCCCGGGCAGGAGUGGGAGCCCGCCCCAGUCCCAGGCCCACUCGCCAUCUUCUGAACCCAGCAUGGGGUGAGAGUGGCCAGUGACUGGGUGAGCAGGAAGACGGACCUGUGUGAGGACACUGAGCACUGGCCCCUCCUGGCACUGGGGGCCGUACUCGGCUCAACCUCCCUGAGCAAAGACGAAGAAAGACGAACUUUGCUUAACGCUCAGUAUAAUUAGUCUUCAUUUACCGCCUGAAACGUUGUCUUUGUUUUCUUAUCACUCUGCUUCUUAAAUGACUUAAACUGCCUUGAAAGUGAUCUGAAAGGUAUUUCUGGAUGGGAGCGGAGGGAAUCUGUUCUUCAGAAUCUGAAAUUGGAGGACACCUGGAAAACAAGACCUCAGUGUGUUCCCGCAGGUCCCUGCAGACAGGAGACAGCAGAGCUGUACCUGCGGGUGCCGCUUCGCAUGCCGUCAGGGAGGACCCAGACGUCUCCAUGCUGCUGGGCGCCGCGCAGAUGGCUUCCCUGCCCGGGGCUGGCUGCUUCUAAUUUCAGCUGCUGGAGGCUCCGCGCUCUCACUCUUGCUCGCGCUCUCUCUCUCUCUCUUUUAUUCCAUGUUUAUUUAAAGCCAGAUUUUGAAAUGUUGUCUUCAGCCCUAAAAUCUCACUUUAUCUUCUUGCAGCAGAUCCUAUAAAACCCCACUUAGGUGCCUAGAGGGUGGGGGACUUCGAGGACAGAGUUUCCCUGGCCCGCUGCCUGACACUGUCUCCGUAAACAUUCCGAUGACUGGUCAGUGUUUUCCCAGUGGAGCAGCCCAGUGUCACGUCCACCCAGACGGAAUACAGACGAGCCGGGUGGACGUCGUGAGUCCAGAUACACGAGAGAGAGCAUGGCCUCCCCAGUGACAUGCAGGAAGCACGCCUGCCCCGGUGCUCGGAGUUGAACUUAGGCAGGGGAGUCUGAGGCUGCCCUGCCGUCUCCUGUCUGGGGUCGUGAUGCAGUGGGGCCUGUCAUGAGUGGUCCAGACGUGUACCCCCGGAGGUGGAACAGUGACAGCCUCAGGUGCCCUGGUGCCUCCUCCUUCCCGGCUCUUCCUGGCACUCUGCUUCCUUCUCCUAACCUGAGAGCCACACGCUAUUUCUUCUUGUCCAUCUAGAAACCAAGGACAUCUGGAAGGGGUCUUCCACCUUAGACCCUAACAGGGGAAGUGCAACGCAGCUUUCUGGCCGCGCUGACCCGACAGGGCUGCUCCGAUGGGGAAGCGUGGCCACUCGCACAGAUGUUCAUUUGCACAGCAUCAGACCACACAGCAGCUGGGGCCCUUUGUCCCACCGGCCAUGGGAGCCCACAGUCAGCCCGUGUGCAUGGUAGGUGCUCCAGAAAUAUGAGGUCCCUUUCUCUUUGAUGAGACGUAACUACCCUCAUGUCCCUCUAUGGCUCGCCUCAGAAUGUGCUAGAAGAGCUUUGAUGAAAGGGGGAUGUCUUGAUGAACUGCACAGGGUGAAGGCAAAACUGGCCGAGGGGCCAGGCUGGAUGUGUAGCGGGGAGGACACCUGCAGGAAUGGAGUUUACCUAAAUAGGUGCUCCUGGAGCCAGUAGUGCUAAGGAAGGAGCUCCCUGGCUUAUCGUGCGCAGAGCCGCAGCGCCCCAGCCCAGCCACGGAGCCACACAGCUGCCUCUGGCUAGGGGCUAGGAGGCGGGCAGGGUGGGACGCAGCCGGGGGCAGUUGCCCCAGGGCUGGCUAGAGAUGGCGGCCGUGGCCAAGCCAGUCUCCAGCCGACUUAACGCCAGAGCUACCGGGGCCCAGAGGAGGCGUGGCUGUGUUUCCAGUGAGAGCCAAGCAGUUUUCCAAAGAGCGCCGCAAGCUACUGCCAGGGCCUUUAUGUUCUAAAGAUGUGCGGAGCGUGUCUCAGUGGCUUCGCCGGCAUACUUGGCCAGAAAGUAACAUGAUUUCGAGAAAACAUGAUUUGAGUGUUAAGCUCGAGAAUAUCAUUUCCCCCAGCAAGUUCUUUUUCUUCUCACAAAGUUGGAAGACACAGAAAUCUUUGUAGAGGUUCAUGGAAAACUUUAGCUGUUUCCUAGCUGCCCAGAUGAAAAGAAUAUUCCAUCCACUGGGGGAAAACAAUUACUCUAAACAGAUUCGGGUGGCAUUUUACCCCUCGUCCAACUGGCUGCACGUGACCUUUGCCGGCGUGGCUCCAAUGCCCAGAGACGAGGCUGGUGUGAAGAGCUGGCUGCUGAUCCCUGGAAUCUGCCGCUAAUUCUCACUCAGAUUUUGAGAUUUUCUCUGCGGCUGCAGGAGCCAACAGAGUCCUUUGUGCGGCCUCAGGACUCGGCUUUCAGAGGCCCUGGAGCCAGUGGUGUUGGAUUCAGCCGUAAUUCUUCAUUCUUUGGCUCAAGGGAAAACCUUGAUUCUGCACAGGAUUGCAAAAGCCGAGGCACUCCAGCUAGGACACGGCGUCAUUGGAGUGCCCUGGGAGGAGUGACACCCUCCUCCUGGGCUGGCGCGGGGAAGAGAAGCUCCCGCGUGUGAAACAGCUCCACCACCAAGCGCCUGCAGACGAGCGGUGUGUUCCGCCUGGAACCUGCCGAGGGAACGUGUGG